UACAGAGGGUGCAAGCGUUGUUCGGAAUUAUUGGGCGUAAAGAGCUCGUAGGCGGCCAGUUGCGUCCGCUGUGAAAUCCCGGGGCUUAACCCCGGGCGUGCAGUGGAUACGGGCUGGCUAGAGGCAGGCAGGGGAGAACGGAAUUCCCGGUGUAGCGGUGAAAUGCGCAGAUAUCGGGAGGAACACCGGUGGCGAAGGCGGUUCUCUGGGCCUGUACUGACGCUGAGACGCGAAAGCGUGGGGAGCGAACAGG
Molecule: ribosomal RNA, 253 nt
Filed under: uncultured bacterium
Lineage: Bacteria
Description: partial 16S ribosomal RNA
Rfam family: Bacterial small subunit ribosomal RNA
Source: RNAcentral